This 429-nucleotide long non-coding RNA is filed under the name Oryza brachyantha (malo sina). Its description in RNAcentral is "long non-coding RNA (OBRA_LNC000902)". The record is from RNAcentral. Lineage: Eukaryota; Viridiplantae; Streptophyta; Magnoliopsida; Poales; Poaceae.
CGGCGACGCCGAGCACUUGGUCGCUCCACUCUUCACUUCACUCGGUUGUUAGUAAAUCAAAGCUAAAAACGUGCUGAAAAGUGAGAAAAAACGCAGGAAAAGUACAAAAAAGCAGCGAUAUUUGACACAAUAAAUUGCUUAAAAUGAGCUUAAUCCCCCAUUUCAUUCCAAAUAGGAUAGGAACUGAUGUUGCUGUUUUGGUAGCGCAAGUGUAAAUAAAACAGAUAUGUUGUUCGAACUGCUCAAGUGAAAAGAAAGAUGUGAUUUUUUUUCUUGCGAUUACAAAUGUUAUGGUUUUCUUCCUUGCUCGGAAGAAAGUGCCGCCGUACUCGUGGCUCGGAGCGUGGUGAGCGACGGAUGCGCACUGGAGGGGCUAUGCGUGUGCUCGGAGGACGAACAUGUGGUGGCGCCGAACACGUGGCUGACGAC